CAUCCCAGUCCCCAGUUAGUCCCUCACAAGCUACUGUGGGAUUCGGUGUCUCGCCCAGUUUUUCUGCAGCGGGUUCAUAUUAAAAAUCUCGAGGGUGGACUGUGGCCUUGCCUUCCCUCCUGUUCCCCACGGUGAGAUGCACAUAGCUCGCUGCGCUGUGCCAGACCACACACACGUCACACCGUCACCCUCAGCGAACAAUGCAUGAUCCUUAAGGGACCAGCCCACAUUUUGCAGACCAGGAAACUGACUCCGGAAGAGGACAGGACUCAUCCAGAGGUGGCGGCCAACAAGCCUAGAAUUUGUCUUUGGAGCUUUUGCUGCAUUUGAUUGCACUCCUCAUUUCUCUUGAGCUCUGGCCUCAAAGGGCUGCGUUUCUGCACUCCACCACACGCUCUGCAUGGAGUUGGCAGAAGCAGCUAUGGCAAGGGCGCGGGAGGGAGGUGGGAACUCCAGGAGUCCAUCCUCAAGUACUGCCGGCCUGCGGAGGAGUGAGGGGAGGGAGACCCCAGGCCUGCCCAUAGCACACACGCCACACUGAGCCGGCCAGCUCAGCUGCCCGGUGUUGGGGCAAAUAGCUUCUCAGCCCUCACCAGUGUCUUACUGGGUGAAGUGCAUUGCAAGCCCUGACUCCAUAGGCUGCCCUGGCCUCACAGGGGUGUGCCCUCUGUGCCCUGCCAGUGGGCUCGGGUGUAGGGAGGGGUGUGGGGUGUUUUGCAGAGUUGUUAGGAGAGGAUGGAAUUGUCCACCUAGAAGGGAUGAGAAUGACCCACAUCGUCUUUAUGUAGAAGGGUGAGAAGAUACUUCAAAACUCCAACAGAAAGAUGUGUUUGUUUAGAGCUGCGACGUUUCUGUGUCGUUUUUCUUCAUAUUGGUCAAAGCCCCUGAAGUGCUGUGCCUGGAGAUACCAUUGUGGACCCUGGAGAGGCACCCUGCAGCUUAUGCGGUAAAACCUCGACCACCCCAAACCUGGUCAGUUUGAGGGGAGCUGCUGCCACAGUAUCCACUGAGGCCGGGGUUCCAGUCGUGUGGAGCAGCAGAGGGGAGUCUGACAGGGCCACCUCCUCCACAGAGAGAACUGGCAGCCGACUGCACGGCCGGAGCGAAGGCCUGGGGGUGUGGAGCCUGGAAGACCAGGGACACCUGAGGCAGGAGGUGCAGCGUGUGGAGUGGGGAACCCGAGACGGACUAGGGCCUGUGCUCAGGAUCAGGCAGGCAGAGUGGAGAGGGAGAGACGGAGCCCUGGAAGGGGAGCAGGAGGAGGGGGAGUAGUGGCAGCAGCCCAGGCCAAGCGUGUGUCCUGCAAGUGCUAGGACCAGCUACCCCUCCCCAUGGCCUCCAAGCCGGCUGCCGGGAAGAGCGGAGGGGAGAAGCGGAAGAGGGUGGUGCUGACGCUGAAGGAGAAGAUUGACAUCUGCACGCGCCUGGAGAAGGGCGAGAGCCGGAAGGCGCUGAUGCAGGAGUACAACGUGGGCAUGUCCACCCUCUACGACAUCAGGGCCCACAAGGCACAGCUGCUUCGGUUCUUUGCCAGCUCGGACUCCAACAAGGCACUGGAGCAGCGGCGCACGCUGCACACGCCCAAGCUGGAGCACCUGGACCGCGUCCUGUACGAGUGGUUCCUGGGGAAGCGCUCCGAGGGCGUCCCCGUGUCAGGCCCCAUGCUCAUCGAGAAGGCCAAGGACUUCUACGAGCAGAUGCAGCUCACUGAGCCCUGUGUGUUCUCUGGAGGGUGGCUUUGGCGCUUUAAGGCCAGACACGGCAUUAAAAAGCUAGAUGCAUCCAGUGAAAAGCAGGCAGCCGACCACCAGGCCGCGGAGCAGUUCUGUGGGUUUUUCAGGAGCUUGGCUGCCGAGCACGGGCUGUCCCCCGAGCAGGUUUACAACGCUGAUGAGACCGGCCUUUUCUGGCGGUGCCUGCCAAAUCCCACUCCAGAAGGCGGGGCCGUGCCUGGCCUCAAGCAGAGCAAGGACCGGCUGACCGUGCUGAUGUGUGCCAACGCCACGGGCUCCCACAGGCUCAAGCCCUUGGCCAUCGGGAAAUGCAGCGGCCCCAGGGCUUUCAAAGGCAUCCAGCACCUGCCUGUAGCCUAUAAGGCCCAGGGGAGCGCCUGGGUGGACAAGGAGAUUUUUUCCGAUUGGUUCCAUCAUAUCUUUGUGCCCUCGGUGAGAGAGCACUUCAGAACCAUAGGUUUGCCAGAAGACAGCAAGGCCGUUCUCUUGCUGGACAGCUCCCGGGCUCACCCGCAGGAGGCCGAGCUGGUGUCCAGCAAUGUUUUCACCAUCUUCCUGCCUGCCAGCGUGGCCUCACUGGUGCAGCCCAUGGAGCAGGGCAUUCGGAGAGACUUCAUGAGGAACUUCAUUAACCCUCCGGCCCCCCUGCAGGGCCCCCACGCCCGCCACAAUAUGAAUGAUGCCAUAUUCAGCAUGGCCUGUGCCUGGAACGCAAUUCCCACUCACGUCUUCAGGCGGGCCUGGAGGAAGCUGUGGCCAUCAGUUGUGUUUGCUGAAGGCUCCUCCUCUGAGGAGGAGGUGGAGGCAGAGCACUUCCAAGCGAAGCCCCACAACAAAUCCUUUGCGCACAUCCUGGAGCUUGUGAAGGAAGGCUCCUCCUGCCCAGGCCAGCUUCGCCAGCGCCAGGCCGCUGGCUGGGGUGUAGCAGGAAGGGAGGCAGAAGGGGGACAACCCCCUGCUGCCACGUUGCCAGCAGAGGUUGUGUGGGGUUCAGAAAAGACUCUGAAAGCUGACCAAGACGGUGGAGGAGAUCCUGGUGAGGGUGAAGAGGCGGCCUGGGAGCAGGCAGCCGUGGCCUUCGACGCAGUCCUGCGCUUUGCGGAGCGGCAGCCAUGCUUCAGUGCACAGGAAGUGGGGCAGCUGCGAGCGCUGCGUGCCGUGUUCCGGAGCCAGCAGCAGGUGAGGAGGCGGCGUGGCGCCCUCGGGGCUGUGGUCAAGGUUGAAGCCCUCCAGGAGGGCCCUGGUGGCUGCGGGGCCACGGCUCACUCUCCCUUGCCCUGCUCAUCCACAGCAGGUGACAACUGAUGGCUUCUCUGCCCUGCCCUGGCCACUGGUCCUGUUUCUCCACGCACCCUGGAGUGGCAUGGUCCUGUGCCCCGACCCCACCUGAGGCAGGAGGGCAUGUGCAGACACUUAAGAGCCCUUCCAGGAGCGGGUCACCCACGGGUGUGGCUCGGGUGCUCAGGACAGUCUGUGCCUGAGGUUCCUGUCGAUACAGGUUUUAUCACUUGCCAUGUCAUCCGAAAGUAAGGAAAUGUUUUGGAAGGGUCCACCCUAGCCUAGAACAAGCCAGAGCCUGACUCUGGCUGGAAUGGGGGCCAGGCUUGGCUGAUCUGGCCUCAUGUUCGCUGGCUGAUCAUUGCAGUAUCAGAGGGUGGAGAUGUCUGUCUGUCCAUGUGGAGAGAAGUUGCCCUCCAGGCCGACAGGAGGCCAUGCCCACCGCCCCUGGACAAACUUCGUCUCAGAAGGCUCUAUCUGCUGGGCUGGCGGCCAUCCCCUUGUUGGGUGGACCCCAGGCACGGUGCCUGAGGGCCGAUGGCCGAGAGCUGGGACUCAGUUCUUGGCCUGCUCUCGGCUGAAGAGGCCGCACGUCUCACUUCAGUCGUGGCCUUGUUCAGCAGAAUGACUGGAACCAUCCUCUGUUACCCGCAGAUGCCAUCCCAUGGGCUCUGGCCCCAGGAUGUGGGGGCCCCACGGAGAGUUGACUUGGUAGAGUUUCUUUCCGUGAAGAAAGUAGGAGUGGCUGACCAGGCCCUGCUCAUCACCCGGAUACAGGACACAGACCUUGCGUGGUAUUUUGGCAUUUUGGCUCAGAGUGCAAUGUGCCAUGUUGCCCAGAAUUUCAUACUUACGGCCUUUACAUGAAUACGUCUUGAUCAGGCAUUCAGAGAUUAGUCUUAGGUUUGCACGUAAGUCACUGGAAACAGUAAAACAGGUUGCUUAGAUUUCCAACAAUAUUUGUGCUCUUUUCCCCAGCUGUUGGCACGUUAGUAAUACCUUUGGGGAGGAGUUGUCUGUCCUGGUCAGUGUUCACGGAUGCGGUUGUAAGAGGAUGUGGUGAUUUUCUCCAUGUCUGUAGCUGCUUUGCAGCAUCUCCAUUUCACGGGCAGCACUCGCUUCCUGCAGCUGAGAUUCUAGAAUGCCCUAUGUCCACAGUGAUUAGCCUCGUCUUUGAGUGAGCAUGAAAUAGGUGCAUUGUUCUUUUUUUUCAUUCUUGAGGCAGGGUCUCACUCUGUUGACCAGGCUGGAGUGAAGUGGUGUGAUCACAGCUCACUGCAGCCUCGACCUCCCUGGCUUGAGUGAUCCUCCCACCCCAGCCUCCUGAGUACCUGGGACUAGAGGCGUGCACCGUGACGCCUACCCUUUUAUUUUUUUGUAGAGACAGGGUCUCACUAUGUUGCCAAGGCUAGUCUUGAACUCUUGGCCUCAAGCGAUCCUCCCUCCUCAGCCUCCCACAGUGCUGGGAUUACAGGCGUGAGCCCCAGCACUCGGCCUAAAUGGGUUUUUUUUUGCUAUGUUAUUUUCAGUGCUUUGCUCUUGAAUUCUUUUCCCCUCUUAAAUUUGUAUCAUUUGGCUGAGUCAGCACGUAGUUUGCAUUCCAGCGUCUGCUGUUGAUUCCACUGAAACCUUUGUUCUCAUGAGGGAGAGGAUUUGGCUCGCUGUGGUUUCUUGUAUUUUCACAUCUCUGCCGAUACAGGGGCAAAAGUCAUUGCUGACAGAGCCCUCCCUAUGUCCUGAAAGUGUGUGUUUCUUGCUUUGAAUGCAUGUGUGACGGUUAUAAAAGCCAAAUAGUUUCUAAAGAUCUCGGUGCUGAACGACAGUCCCAGUUGUUCCCAUUUGGGUUCCGUUGCCUUCGUGGUGUCACCCCCACUGUUUGCUUCCUGUGUCUGGGGAACUUCUGCACAUCCGUGUACUUCGUGCCAUUUCUGGGCUCACGUGUCACUCCUAGCAGAGCCUCAUAACCAAGAUUGCUGGAUUGCAGCUGCUUGAGGCAACGCAGGAGGUUAGAACAUGUCUUGAGGGCUCUGAAGCAGCAGGACAUCCUGGGUGGGUGGAGCUGAGGAGGGCACAGGGCAGGCCGAGCUCCUGGCUGGCUCUCCUGAAUCCUCUGGAGAUGGCUUGUCCCUGUCAGACUGUAGCUCUUCAGGACCUGAGCUCUUCCCGCUCUUGACCUGCUUCUGUGCUGACUGUGCUGGGCUCAUGGGUAGAUGUUUGUCCCCAGUGAGUGGCUGUGUCCUCAGGGUGCCCCUCUUCGAGACUAACUGCAACAAGGCUUGGAACCUGACUCUAGGCACAGCCCCUGUGGCUGGAAUCCCUUGUGCCACCCAGGGGACUUGGGCCCUGCUCCUCCUGCAGCCCCUCCUCACCUGGGCUCGCUGCUGCAGGUCUCCCUGGAGUGAGGUUUUUAGGGAGCCCAGAGCUUACUCAUCUCUGCGCUGCUGGGCCCGGCUGCCUGCUGCAUACUUCCUGUCUCCAUCCUGUCCCCCAGAAUGCUUCGUGGAGACUGCUGUUUCCUCCGAACACUUUGUUCUCACUUCCUGACCAGUCUCAGAAGCUCAAGUGGUCGAAUGUUUUAGCCUCAGAAUCUUGUUCCCCAAGCCCUCUCAGGUGGAGCCCCACUGCACCAGACACCACAGCACAGCCCUGUGAGGCUGUGUCUCCUCACUCCGUUUCUGGGGCUGCUGAGGCCCCUGGGAAGCCCUGGAGCUUGCCAGAGCAGAGCGCGCAAGUCUCUGGUCCCGUUUAAAUGCCUCUCCCUUUUAUCUGUGAACCCGGGGCUGGAGCCACUCUUUGUCUUCUCACCGUGCCCCUACAGGUCAUGGCCUCAGUUCUUCAGUGGCUACUGGGGCAGCGGGUGCUGCGACGUCUGGUUUGGGACCUCUGUGGCUGCUUCCAGCCUGCUAGUGGAAUGAACCUCUUUGUAUCACCACAUUCUUCUCUGGUGGUGCCCCUGAGGGCUCAGGCCUGAGGGUGCUCCUUUGUCUUCAGUUGGGACAGGCAGCCUCCACUCUGGGAGCUCCCAUCCCUCAGGGUGCCCAGGAGAGGCCAUACUUUCAGGGUGGCAUGGUGAAUUCAGGGCUUGGGAUGGGUAGGUGGUCUUUCAGCCCCUUCUACCUUAGAUUGGUUUACAGAACACCUGUCCUGCCUGUGCCAGCCUGGAUCUCUGGGCACCCCCGGCACGCUGUCCUGAAGGUUGUCUGUCUCCUGCAUAGGAGGAUCUAGAGCGGGCCUUGCCCUGGGCCCGUCUGCGUGGCUUCAUACGCUUCAUUUGUGCUCAGCCAUGGUUGAGCAUGCGAUGGAGACCACUUGGGCUGCCCCUGAUGCCGCAGGCCACUGUUCUUAUCCAGCGGGCCGAAUGAGUGAUUGCUAGUGGUAGGUUGACUGGAAGAAUGGAAGUCACAGCCCCUGCUCAUGGCUUCCUCAGCUCCCUGGGGUUGGAGGACUGUCAUCAGUUGUCCCCAGUUAAAGUCCAUUUGGAGGAUGUCAUCAGUUGUCCCCAGUUAAAGUCCAUUUGGAGGAGGUUCAGGGUCCCAGUGGCUGGAUGUGCUUCCGGAGGGACAGGGUUUUGGAGGACUGUCAUCAGUUGUCCCCAGUUAAAGUCCAUUUGGAGGAGGUUCAGGGUCCCGGUGGCUGGAUGUGCUUCCGGAGGGACAGGGUUUGAGGCAGGGAUUUGCAGAAGGUGUGGACUGCAUCCUUUCUUGGGAGGCUGUGGCACAAGGCAGCGAAACUUGGGACAAAUCAAGACCCAUCCACACUGCACCUCAGGGACCUCACCUCGCCCCACAUACAUGUACUUAUAGGGGACCGGGGGUGGUGGCUUCUGCCUGAAAUCCCAGCGCUCUGGAACGCCAAGGCAGGAGGAUCACGUUAGUUCAGGAGUCUGAAACCAGCCUGGGCAACAUAGGGAGACCCCAUCUUUACAGAAAAUAAAAGAAAAUGAGCCAGGUGUGGUGGUGUUUGCCUGUAACCCCAGCUACUCAGGAGGCCGAGGCAGGAGGAUCCCCAAGCCCAGGAGUUCGAGGCUGCAGUGAGUUAUGGCCUCUGCACUCCAGCCUGGGUGACAGAGUGAGAGGCCUUAUCUAUAAUAAAAAUAGUAAUAAAAUGUGCUUUGGGGUCAGGUGUGGAGAUCAGGGUCGGGGAGGUCAUGAGGUAGGGGUCAGGAUGUGGACAGUCACAGGCUGGUGGGUGUGGCAGCCGUGAGGGGUGGGUGGUGGGCUGGGAGACAGGGCCUGGGCAGGGCUUCUGCACUUCCGCUGCCCCCUGUGGGUUCGAGGACUCUUCUUGACAAGGGCUGAGCUCUCAGGCACUGCGUUGGGCUCAGCUGCCUGCUGGGAGGCUGGGGAGAAUGGACCCGUGAGGCCUUGUUUGUCUUCUUCCCUGUCCAGCUCCUGUAGACCCCAGGCCUGGCUGUCUGCAGGGCCAGGAGCUGCAGCCACCAGCCUCCCAGGUGAGCCCCAGCUCCCGGCCCUGCACGCCUGCUCCUUUGCCCGUGUGGACUCGGCUCUGGUGUCUGCUUCCACACAUGGACCCUCAGACCCUACACAUCUGUUGUUUCCCUUGCAGGGCAGUGAUGAUAACAUUAAAUGAGGUGGGGUCACUCGUGUUUAGAUAUGAGACUGGGGCCCAGGGAGGGGCAGGUGUGAAGUUGCUGAGGGCAGAGGGAGACCCACGGCUACCUGCUCCUGGUGACCAGCAUCAUGUUCACUGCUCACUCCCUGCCAUUCACCAGCUGCAUGACCUUGAGCAGUGCCCUCAACUGUAAACAGAGGUGAAAACACUCCUUUACCAGCCUUUUUAGGGGCCACUCUUGUGUGAGGCCUUGAACCUCAUUUCAGUUCCGUGGUGGUCCUGAGCCUCUGAAUCUGGGCAUGGCCCCUGCUGGGUCCUGGUCUCAAAGGCAGCGUGAUGGCCUCCCUGCUCAGGCCCUCCUGGGAGGCCCACUGGCCAUGGCUGGGCCCUCUCUCAGGGAACCUGUCAGCGUGGCCAUCUCCACACCCCGGCUGGCUGGGAGGCGAGAUACGAGGUGCUCAAAGGCCGUCUAUGUCUGUGGGCAGUCCCGUCCCACACAGGCCAGGAUUAUUGGGCCUCCUUAUCAGCCAAAGGAACUGAGGUCCAGAGCAGGGAAUGUGUUGCCCAGUGUCAGAGCAUGGUCUGCUCUGGGGUCAGGUGUCUUGCCCUGGUCCUAAGCCACUCCAAGCCAAGGCAUGUCCCUGGGCCCAUUUCCCCUCUCGAGGUCUCGGGGUCCCUAUUUCUGAUGUGUGUGAAAGGAAGGCCUGUCCUCUGGGGUGGCCAUGAGGCUCCGUGGGAGGAGCUGCCAUGCUUGAGCCAGGACUUGGCACCUGGCCAGCCUUUUUCUCUGUCAUUGUACCUUGAUGGGUUGUCAGUUCUAAAGAGAAGAAAUACACUAGGAAUCCUGUUCUCCCUCCCCGUUCUCCCUGGCAGAGGAAAGUGACCACACCCCCAUGGUGUGGACAUACGGACGCUCCUCCACGAAGCAGCAAAGUUCUGUUGUUUCAGGAGGCUGUGGGCCCUGAGGAUGUGGUAGUGACCUCACCAGAGGAGCUGGCAAUUCCUAAGUGCUGCCCGGAGGCCUCUACAGAGACAUAAUGUUGGAGAACUUCUGCCUCUUGGCAGUGCUGGGUAAGACCCCUUUGUCCCCACCAGUGCCCUUGAGGGUAUGGGUGUUGGUCGGUGUGUGGCGUCCAUCUCCGUAAUAAUGGUAUUAAGGACUGCAUGUUUGUGUCCCCCCCAAAGUUUAUAUGUUGAAACCCUGACCCCAGUAGGGUGGUAUUAGGAGGUGGGGCCUUUGGGAGGUGACUAGGCUUAGGUGAGGUCAUGAGGGUGGGGCUCCCCGAUGAGAUUGAGUUCUUAAAAGGAAGGAACUAGAGCAAGGUCUCUUUCUGCUGUGUGAUCAUACAAGAAAAUUGCCAUCUUUCAAGCUGGGUGCAGUGGUUGACGCCUGUAAUCCCAGCACUGGAAGGCCAAGGCAUUAGGAUUGCUUUGAGUCCAGGAGUUCGAGACCAGCCUAGGCAUGAUAAGACCUUAUCGCUAAAAGGAAGAAAUAAAAUAAAAAACUGCCAUCUGCAAAUCAGAAAGAGCCUUCAGCAGACACCAGACUGCCAGUGCCUUUGAUAUUGGACUUUCAGUCCCCAGAUCUGUGAGAAAUUAAUUUCUGUUGUUUAAACCACCUAGCCUGUGGUAUUUUGUUAUAGCAAUCCAAACUGAGACAGGCAGUAAGGAGAGAACAGAGGUUCCAGCCUGCUUCAGGUCCAGGCAGUUCUGCCAUUGCCCUCGACUCCUCAGUUCCAGUCAUGGGCCAGGCUCCUGGGGGACUUGGGAUGAGUAAAACGUGCACCUGUCAUUAAGGUUCACCUGGUCUAGAAGGGGAGGCAGACCCACACUGCCCACCAUGACCCGGACAGUGGUGAUAAAUACAGAGCACCUCAUGGCCAGGGCCUGGGGGAUUCCCACCCUGCCCUACCCAGUGCCAAUAACAGAGGGACUCUGCAGAGUUGUGUACACAAGAUAGCAGUUUAGUUCUUGCACACAUACUAGUUGAGAAGGGAAAUCAGGGCUGAUGAAACAGCUCAACUGUCUGGCAGAGCCAGGCUCCUUCUGCCAUGAUGCAGUUUGGAUGUUUGUCCCUUCUAAUCGUAUAUGGAAAUUUGAUCCCCAGUGUUGAAGGUGGGGCCUGAUGGGAGAUGUUCCUGUUAUCGGGAUGGAUCCUUCAUUAGUAGCCUGGUGCCAUCUUUGUGGUAACAAGUGAGUUCUCACUUGAUUAGUUUCUGUGAGAACUGUUUGUUAAAGAGAGCCUGGCACCUCCCUCCCUUCUUCCUCUUGCUAUGUGAUGCUGCUCCCCUUUGCCUUCCAUCAUGAGUGGAAGCUCCCUGAAUUCCCCACCAGAAGCAAAUGCUGGCACCAUGCUACUUGUACAGCCUGCAGAACUGUGAGCCAAAUAAACCUCUUUUCUUUAUAAAUUA
This is a non-coding RNA of Chlorocebus sabaeus (green monkey), 9994 nucleotides long. The record is from RefSeq and is a predicted model, not a curated record. Lineage: Eukaryota; Metazoa; Chordata; Mammalia; Primates; Cercopithecidae.